This 483-nucleotide ribosomal RNA is filed under the name Veillonella dispar. RNAcentral describes it as "bacterial SSU rRNA". It matches the Rfam family "Bacterial small subunit ribosomal RNA", at positions 28 to 481 of the family's 1533-position model. Lineage: Bacteria; Bacillati; Bacillota; Negativicutes; Veillonellales; Veillonellaceae. The record is from RNAcentral.
GACGAACGCUGGCGGCGUGCUUAACACAUGCAAGUCGAACGAAGAGCGAUGGAAGCUUGCUUCUAUCAAUCUUAGUGGCGAACGGGUGAGUAACGCGUAAUCAACCUGCCCUUCAGAGGGGGACAACAGUUGGAAACGACUGCUAAUACCGCAUACGAUCUGACCUCGGCAUCGAGGAUAGAUGAAAGGUGGCCUCUAUUUAUAAGCUAUCACUGAAGGAGGGGAUUGCGUCUGAUUAGCUAGUUGGAGGGGUAACGGCCCACCAGGGCGAUGAUCAGUAGCCGGUCUGAGAGGAUGAACGGCCACAUUGGGACUGAGACACGGCCCAGACUCCUACGGGAGGCAGCAGUGGGGAAUCUUCCGCGAUGGACGAAAGUCUGACGGAGCAACGCCGCGUGAGUGAUGACGGCCUUCGGGUUGUAAAGCUCUGUUAAUCGGGACGAAAGGCCUUCUUGCGAAUAGUUAGAAGGAUGACGGUACCGG